AUAAAGUUUGAUUUUUGCUUAGUAAUUUUGUUUUAUAAUCAUUAGUAUAUGCAAAUUUUAGUGAUUAGGAUUUACUCAAAGUAAUCUUAGGUAAGGAGCAAUAUUUCGUAUUAAUAAAUAAGAUUACUCUUGAAUUGGUAAAUUAUAAUAAGUCUGAGAAAUUUUGUGCCAGCAGUCGCGGUUAAACUUGGGGGCUAAAUAAAAUUUAUUAGUUAAAGUUAAUUGAUUUUAGUUUUAAUGGGGGUUUGUGUUAAUAAAAAGUGAAAUUAGGUUAUUAAAUGUAAAAUUCUAUUUAGUUAUAAAUGUAAUGAAGCUUAAAAAGUUAGGGGAUGAAUCAGGAUUAGAUACCCUAGUACACUUAACUGUAAUUAUAGAAUACUGGGAAAUUAAAAGUUAUAUUCUUUAAAUUUAAAGGAUUUGGCGGUAUUUUAGUCUAGUUAGAGGAAUCUGUCUCUUAAACGAUAGUACACGCAUUAUCUUGCUUAUUUUAGUGAAUCAGUUUGUAUACCGUCAUUAUAAGAUAAUUUAAGAGAGAAUAUUAUUGAGAUUAUAUUAUAUGAAUAUAUUAGAUCAAGGUGCAGCUAAUAAAUAAGAAAAGAUGGAUUACAAUAAAACUUAUUUAUACGGAUUUAAUAUUUAAACAUGUUAAUGAAGGAGGAUUUAAUUGUAAAAUAAAAUUAAUAGGUUUUUUUGAUAAAAGCUCUAAAUUAUGUACAUAUCGCCCGUCGCUUUCAUUUAAGGUGAAAUAAGUCGUAACAUAGUAGGGGCACUGGAAAGUACCCCUAGAAUUUU
This 792-nucleotide non-coding RNA is filed under the name Austropotamobius pallipes (white-clawed crayfish). Lineage: Eukaryota; Metazoa; Arthropoda; Malacostraca; Decapoda; Astacidae. The record is from RNAcentral.